This 585-nucleotide ribosomal RNA is filed under the name uncultured bacterium. RNAcentral's name for it is "partial 16S ribosomal RNA". It matches the Rfam family "Bacterial small subunit ribosomal RNA", at positions 355 to 1375 of the family's 1533-position model. The record is from RNAcentral.
UGGGGAAUUUUGGACAAUGGGCGAAAGCCUGAUCCAGCAAUGCCGCGUGUGUGAAGAAGGCCUUCGGGUUGUAAAGCACUUUUGUCCGGAAAGAAAUCCUUGGCUCUAAUACAGUCGGGGGAUGACGGUACCGGAAGAAUAAGCACCGGCUAACUACGUGCCAGCAGCCGCGGUAAUACGUAGGGUGCAAGCGUUAAUCGGAAUUACUGGGCGUAAAGCGUGCGCAGGCGGUUUGCUAAGACCGAUGUGAAAUCCCCGGGCUCAACCUGGGAACUGCAUUGGUGACUGGCAGGCUAGAGUAUGGCAGAGGGGGGUAGAAUUCCACGUGUAGCAGUGAAAUGCGUAGAGAUGUGGAGGAAUACCGAUGGCGAAGGCAGCCCCCUGGGCCAAUACUGACGCUCAUGCACGAAAGCGUGGGGAGCAAACAGGAUUAGAUACCCUGGUAGUCCACGCCCUAAACGAUGUCAACUAGUUGUUGGGGAUUCAUUUCCUUAGUAACGUAGCUAACGCGUGAAGUUGACCGCCUGGGGAGUACGGUCGCAAGAUUAAAACUUAAGGGAAUUGACGGGGUCAUAGCUGUUUCCU